GAUGAACGCUAGCUAUAGGCUUAACACAUGCAAGUCGAGGGGAAACGGCAUUAUUUGCUUGCGCAUUUUGGACGUCGACCUGCGCACGGGUUAGUAUCGCGUAUCCAACCUUCCCUUUACUUUGGGAUACCCCGUUGGAAGACGGCCUAAUACCCGAUGUAAUUCAUUGAUUGCAUCAGAUAUUAAUAAAAGAUUUAUCGGUAAAGGAUGGGGAUGCGUCUGAUUAGCUUGUUGGUGAGGUAACGGCUCACCAAGGCGACGAUCAGUAGGGGUUCUGAGAGGAAGGUCCCCCAAAUUGGAACUGAGACACGGUCCAAACUCCUACGGGAGGCAGCAGUGAGGGAUAUUGGUCAAUGGGCGCAAGCCUGAACCAGCCAAGUAGCGUGCAGGAAGACGGCCCUAUGGGUUGUAAACUGCUUUUAUACGAGAAUAAUUUGAUGCACGUGUGCGUUAUUGAAUGUAUCGUAUGAAUAAGGACCGGCUAAGUCCGUG
This 492-nucleotide ribosomal RNA is filed under the name uncultured bacterium. Its description in RNAcentral is "partial 16S ribosomal RNA". It matches the Rfam family "Bacterial small subunit ribosomal RNA", at positions 28 to 507 of the family's 1533-position model. The record is from RNAcentral.